RNAcentral lists this ribosomal RNA (253 nucleotides) under uncultured bacterium. RNAcentral's name for it is "partial 16S ribosomal RNA". It matches the Rfam family "Bacterial small subunit ribosomal RNA", at positions 524 to 776 of the family's 1533-position model. The record is from RNAcentral.
AACGUAGGAGGCGAGCGUUAUCCGGAGUUACUGGGCGUAAAGAGCGCGCAGGCGGUCGUUCAAGUCGAGUGUGAAAGCCCCCGGCUCAACUGGGGAGGGUCAUUCGAUACUGAUCGACUGGAAGGCAGGAGAGGGAAGUGGAAUUCCCGGUGUAGUGGUGAAAUGCGUAGAUAUCGGGAGGAACACCAGUGGCGAAGGCGACUUCCUGGCCUGUUCUUGACGCUGAGGCGCGAAAGCUAGGGGAGCAAACGGG